Molecule: ribosomal RNA, 449 nt
Filed under: uncultured bacterium
Lineage: Bacteria
Description: partial 16S ribosomal RNA
Rfam family: Bacterial small subunit ribosomal RNA
Source: RNAcentral
GUCGAGAAUCUUUCACAAUGGGGGCAACCCUGAUGGAGCGACGCCGCGUGGAGGAUAAGGUCUUCGGAUUGUAAACUCCUGUCAUGCGUGAACAAGGUUGCUUGGUUAAUACCUGGGCAAAUUGAUGGUAACGCAAGAGGAAGAGACGGCUAACUCUGUGCCAGCAGCCGCGGUAAUACAGAGGUCUCAAGCGUUGUUCGGAAUCACUGGGCGUAAAGGGUGCGUAGGUGGCGUGGUAAGUCAGAUGUGAAAGCCCGGGGCUCAACCGCGGAACUGCAUCCGAUACUGCCAUGCUAGAGUACUGGAGAGGUGACUAGAAUUCUCGGUGUAGCAGUGAAAUGCGUAGAUAUCGAGAGGAAUACCAAAGGCGUAGGCAGGUCACUGGACAGUUACUGACACUGAGGCACGAAGGCCAGGGGAGCGAACGGGAUUAGAAACCCCUGUAGUCC